CUGAAGAGACAUACCAGCCCUUUGGGGAGAUGACUUUACUCACGAAAUAAUCACAGGACUUCCCCCAGCCAUGCAACAGAGCCACUGAAGGACCCAGGCCCGCAAGAGGAGAAGUCACCAAUGGGAACAUUCCUUAUGUUCCUCACAGUAAAGCAAAGAAGUCACUCCAUGUUCCCAGCAAAGAGGAGGCUGCCUAAAAGUGCCAGGCGCUGGGCUUGGUGACUCCACUACACCCAGUCCCACAAUUUGCCACACUAAGAAAAUAAGACUUAUUUCAUUUCUCCUUCUCCCCUGCAUUGCCCUCCUCUGGGUCAUCUGGAGAUACACAUGAGUGAUCCUUCCUGGGUUCUCUAUAGUUAUCUCUAAGAAUCACUUCUCCAUGCAUUCUUAAUGAAAACAAUUCUGGAAAAGAUACAUAAUUUGCAAGGAAAUAAAAGAUGUCUAAAC
Molecule: long non-coding RNA, 447 nt
Filed under: Bos taurus (domestic cattle)
Lineage: Eukaryota; Metazoa; Chordata; Mammalia; Artiodactyla; Bovidae
Description: long non-coding RNA NONBTAT013442
Source: RNAcentral